RNAcentral lists this ribosomal RNA (423 nucleotides) under uncultured bacterium. RNAcentral describes it as "bacterial SSU rRNA". It matches the Rfam family "Bacterial small subunit ribosomal RNA", at positions 355 to 775 of the family's 1533-position model. The record is from RNAcentral.
UAAGGAAUAUUGGUCAAUGGGCGGAAGCCUGAACCAGCCAUGCCGCGUGCAGGAAGACGGCCCUACGGGUUGUAAACUGCUUUUGUACCAGAAUAAACCUUUGUAUGUAUACAAAGCUGAAUGUAUGGUAAGAAUAAGGAUCGGCUAACUCCGUGCCAGCAGCCGCGGUAAUACGGAGGAUCCGAGCGUUAUCCGGAUUUAUUGGGUUUAAAGGGUGCGUAGGCGGCUUGUUAAGUCAGGGGUGAAAGACGGUAGCUCAACUAUCGCAGUGCCCUUGAUACUGAUGAGCUUGAAUGUACUAGAGGUAGGCGGAAUGUGACAAGUAGCGGUGAAAUGCAUAGAUAUGUCACAGAACACCAAUUGCGAAGGCAGCUUACUAUGGUAUGAUUGACGCUGAGGCACGAAAGCGUGGGGAUCAAACAG